UAGUCCACGCCGUAAACGAUGACAACUAGCCGUUGGGCUCCUUGAGGGCUUAGUGGCGCAGCUAACGCGAUAAGUUGUCCGCCUGGGGAGUACGGCCGCAAGGUUAAAACUCAAAUGAAUUGACGGGGGCCCGCACAAGCGGUGGAGCAUGUUGUUUAAUUCGAUGCAACGCGAAGAACCUUACCACCCCUUGACAUCCUGCGAACUUUCUAGAGAUAGAUUGGUGCCUUCGGGAACGCAGUGACAGGUGCUGCAUGGCUGUCGUCAGCUCGUGUCGUGAGAUGUUGGGUUAAGUCCCGUAACGAGCGCAACCCUUGCCCUUAUUUGCCAGCGGAUUAUGCCGGGAACUCUAAGGGGACUGACGGUGACAAACCGUAGGAAGGUGGGGACGACGUCAAGUCAUCAUGGCCCUUACGGGGUGGGCUACAAACGUGCUACAAUGGAGGGUACAAAGGGCAGCGAGCUCGCGAGGGGGAGCGAAAUCUCUAAAAGUGCAUCUCAGUCCGGAUUGAAGU
RNAcentral lists this ribosomal RNA (515 nucleotides) under uncultured bacterium. Its description in RNAcentral is "bacterial SSU rRNA". It matches the Rfam family "Bacterial small subunit ribosomal RNA", at positions 791 to 1304 of the family's 1533-position model. The record is from RNAcentral.